This 495-nucleotide ribosomal RNA is filed under the name uncultured bacterium. RNAcentral describes it as "bacterial SSU rRNA". It matches the Rfam family "Bacterial small subunit ribosomal RNA", at positions 28 to 509 of the family's 1533-position model. The record is from RNAcentral.
GAUGAACGCUAGCGGCAGGCUUAAUACAUGCAAGUUGAGGGGCAGCAUGAUAUACGCGAGUAUAUUGAUGGCGACCGGCGGACGGGUGAGUAAUAGGUAGGAGACCUACCUCAUACAGGGGGAUAGCAUAGAGAAAUCUGUGGUAAUACCCCAUGAGGUUAUAUGAAUAGAGGCAUAUAAUCAAAGCAUAAGCGAUUAUGCGGUAUGAGAGGGGCCUACUGACCAUUAGCUAGUUGGUGAGGUAAGGGCUCACCAAGGCGAAGAUGGUUAGGGGUUUUGAGAGGGAGACCCCCCACAUUGGAACUGAGAGACGGUCCAGACUCCUACGGGAGGCAGCAGUAGGGAAUAUUGGGCAAUGGGCGAAAGCCUGACCCAGCCAUGCCGCGUGAAGGAAGACGGCCUUAGGGUUGUAAACUUCUUUACUACGCGAAUAGAGGUUAGUACGAGAUACUAAUAGGAAGGUAGUGUAGUAAAAGCACCGGCUAACUCCGUGCC